GAUGAACGCUGGCGGCGUGCCUAAUACAUGCAAGUCGAGCGAACAGACGAGGAGCUUGCUCCUCUGACGUUAGAGGCGGACGGGUGAGUAACACGUGGAUAACCUACCUAUAAGACUGGGAUAACUUCGGGAAACCGGAGCUAAUACCGGAUAAUAUAUUGAACCGCAUGGUUCAAUAGUGAAAGACGGUUUUGCUGUCACUUAUAGAUGGAUCCGCGCCGUAUUAGCUAGUUGGUAAGGUAACGGCUUACCAAGGCAACGAUGCGUAGCCGACCGGAGAGGGGGAUCGGCCACACAGGAACUGAGACACGGUCCAGGCUCCUACGGGAGGCACCAGUAGGGAAUCUUCCGCAAUGGGCGAAAGCCUGACGGAGCAACGCCGCGUGAGUGAUGAAGGUCUUCGGAUCGUAAAACUCUGUUAUUAGGGAAGAACAAAUGUGUAAGUAACUAUGCACGUCUUGACGGUACCUAAUCAGAAAGCCACGGCUAACUACGUG
This 497-nucleotide ribosomal RNA is filed under the name uncultured bacterium. RNAcentral describes it as "partial 16S ribosomal RNA". It matches the Rfam family "Bacterial small subunit ribosomal RNA", at positions 28 to 507 of the family's 1533-position model. The record is from RNAcentral.